This 1962-nucleotide long non-coding RNA is filed under the name Olea europaea subsp. europaea. The record is from RNAcentral. Lineage: Eukaryota; Viridiplantae; Streptophyta; Magnoliopsida; Lamiales; Oleaceae.
GAAGAACGUAAGGGAAGAAGAGAUAUUAUUGGCUGUUGGAACUGUGAAGUCUUCCUAAAGUCUUUCUUUUCUUCAGUAUUCAUAUCGUUGUCUCCACUUUACUCUCUUCCUUCUCAGAUACACGCAGGCAGGCUCACCGAUUUACUGCUAAAAUCUUGAAAAUCCAUUUUUAAGUCUUAAUAGGAUCAUAGAAUUACUCCUCAUUUGUGCUGUUCAAGUUGCUGAUUUCUUCAUUCUCAGCUCAAUCCUACCUGGGAUAGACAUCGGAAAAUUCUCAGGUAUGCCCACGCCCUUCUGGUAAACACGGACGAUCGCACCGUUGCAUAUAAAGGCCUAUUCGUGUGGGCAAAUGUAUAAGUGUAUGUGUAUGCUACAUUUCCCAGUUACUGAUUUACAAGUUUUGGAGUGUGAUCAAUUUCCCCCACUAUUUUUUCGGGUGAUUUUCGUUCUUCCCUGCGUAGGCCGAUCUAAUACUGAGAUUUUUAGAUUCAAAUUUAUUAAUAUUCCCAGUUACUUAUUGACAAAUUUUGGAGUGUGGCCAAUUUCCUCACUCCUUUUCGACUAAUUUUUGUUCUUCAUUUUUCGUUGUGUAGGCUGUGCUGAUACUAGGAUUUAGCUAAGUGGUGGAGAAAAGAUGGGGUUUCUUAAUAUAUUACAGUGUAUUCUUUGCUCUGAGGAAGAGGAUAAGCUUGAGAUUGAAAGGAAUCGGUAUGGAUAUUUUGAAAUUGCUGGCCGGGAUAGUGAUUUUGUUUCUUACAUUUGUUCUAAACUCCAGUGGAUUAGAUUCCGACCAACCAACACCACCACCACCAAUGCAGCAAGAUUUCACUAUGAAAAUAAUCAUCGUUCGUCGAAUGCUUCAUCCAUUCAGUCCCAAGAGACCAUUUUCCAAAGUUCUAUUCGAGUUAAGUCACCUGGAAUUGUUGAUUACAAUUAUAGGUCGAUAGAGUCUGGAAAGAAUAAUACUGAUCAUUCGAAUGUAAUUAAGAGAGAUCAUAAUCCCGAGAGAAAGGUAAACAAGCCCUAUGAAUUUCGUCGUGAUCAGAAUUUGAAAGAUUCUUCCUUAUCCUCGUCAUCAUCAUUCGUGAAAACAGUUCAAACUCUACCUUUCGAUCCUCUGAAGCCGAUUGAAGGGGUUCAAAAGGGAAAAGGAUUAGCCCAGAAAGUAAAUUCAGCUUCUUCGCACGAAUCUCAGUGUUCCUUUAAAUUCCCCAUCACAUUGCAUUCGUCCAGUUCAACCUUAUCAUCAUCUUCUUUGUUAGAAAACUUAAAAGGUUCGGCUCCAGUCACUUCAUCAUCCAUGAAACCAGUUUCAACACGACCUUGGGAACCGCAGAAAUCAAUCGAUGGCUGUCAGAAGGGAAAGGGAUUACCCGAGAAUGUAUCUUCAGCCACUUUUCGAGAAUCUCAGUCUUCUUUUAAAUCACCUGUUGCAUUGCAUUUGGCUAAUUCGUCAUCGGCAUCGUCGUUGUUAGAGAGAUCUCCUUCACCAAAACCACGUCCACUAUCCACAAAACCAACCUUGUUGCCGACCUCGGCUCUGACGUAUCAGCAGGGAACAACUAAUUAUAUAUUGGUUGAGGGUUCAUCUACCUAUGCUUUUUCGGAGGACAUCAAAAGUUUGAUUGAAAAAGAAAUUGUUCCGGGAGUGCUCAAGAAGCCUUUGUCUAUGUCGACGUACAAAAAUUACUUCCAUGCUCUACUUUAUGCCGAGGAUUGUUACCUUGAGGUGAUUAUUCACUUGUCAUAUAGCUUCAAUUGCCAUGUUAUGUUAUUGUUUAUAAUUGUUAUAAUGUAGCAGGAUCAAAUCUUUUAUGUGUCUCAAACUUCAAAGAUAAAGUACAUUGUUAUGCUACGAAAAUGCUAGUAUACAAAUUCAGGGAAAAAGGGAAGUGCAAGAGAAAUAAAGAGCUUCGUGACGGUCCAAAUAUGUUCUGCUUUGCAAAGUAUAGCCUCCUGAGG